GGAUUAGAUACCCUGGUAGUCCACGCCGUAAACGAUGAGAACUAGAUGUCGGGGGGAUCUGCCCUUCGGUGUCGCAGCUAACGCGUUAAGUUCUCCGCCUGGGGAGUACGCCGGCAACGGUAAAACUCAAAGGAAUUGACGGGGACCCGCACAAGCGGUGGAGCAUGUGGUUUAAUUCGAUGCAACGCGAAGAACCUUACCUGCCCUUGACAUCCUCAGAACUUGUCAGAGAUGACUUGGUGCCUUCGGGAACUGAGUGACAGGUGCUGCAUGGCUGUCGUCAGCUCGUGCCG
Molecule: ribosomal RNA, 293 nt
Filed under: uncultured bacterium
Lineage: Bacteria
Description: partial 16S ribosomal RNA
Rfam family: Bacterial small subunit ribosomal RNA
Source: RNAcentral